Molecule: small nuclear RNA, 106 nt
Filed under: Castor canadensis (American beaver)
Lineage: Eukaryota; Metazoa; Chordata; Mammalia; Rodentia; Castoridae
Source: RNAcentral
UGUUAACUUUUGCUAGUCAUUCACUAAAAUUGGAAUGAUAUAGAUAAACUUAGUAUGGCUUAUAUGUAAGGACGAUACACAAAUUUGUGAAGUGUUCCAUAUUUUU